Molecule: ribosomal RNA, 279 nt
Filed under: uncultured methanogenic archaeon
Lineage: Archaea; Methanobacteriati; Methanobacteriota
Description: partial 16S ribosomal RNA
Rfam family: Archaeal small subunit ribosomal RNA
Source: RNAcentral
GAGACCCACGCCAACAGUUGCCAGCUYGUCCUCCGGGAUGGUGGGGACACUGUKGGGACCGCCUCUGCUAAAGAGGAGGAAGGAAUGGGCAACGGUAGGUCAGCAUGCCCCGAAUUAUCYGGGCUACACGCGGGCUACAAUGGGUGGGACAAUGGGUAUCKACACCGAAAGGKGAAGGCAAUCUCCUAAACCCAUCCKUAGUUCGGAUUGUGGGCUGCAACUCGCCCACAUGAAGCUGGAAUCUGUAGUAAUCGUGUCUCAAAAUGGCACGGUGAAUAU